GUGGGGAAUCUUGCGCAAUGGGCGAAAGCCUGACGCAGCCAUGCCGCGUGGAUGAUGAAGGUCUUAGGAUUGUAAAAUCCUUUCACCGGUGAAGAUAAUGACUGUAGCCGGAGAAGAAGCCCCGGCUAACUUCGUGCCAGCAGCCGCGGUAAUACGAAGGGGGCUAGCGUUGCUCGGAAUUACUGGGCGUAAAGGGAGCGUAGGCGGACAUUUAAGUCAGGGGUGAAAUCCCGAGGCUCAACCUCGGAACUGCCUUUAAGACUAGGUGUCUUGAGUGUGAGAGAGGUGAGUGGAACUCCGAGUGUAGAGGUGAAAUUCGUAGAUAUUCGGAAGAACACCAGUGGCGAAGGCGACUCACUGGCUCAUUACUGACGCUGAGGCUCGAAAGCGUGGGGAGCAAACAGGAUUAGAUACCCCGGUAGUCC
This 425-nucleotide ribosomal RNA is filed under the name uncultured bacterium. Its description in RNAcentral is "partial 16S ribosomal RNA". It matches the Rfam family "Bacterial small subunit ribosomal RNA", at positions 354 to 796 of the family's 1533-position model. The record is from RNAcentral.